GGAGGGUGCAAGCGUUAUCCGGAUUCACUGGGUUUAAAGGGUGCGUAGGUGGGUUGAUAAGUCAGUGGUGAAAUCUCCAGGCUUAACUUGGAAACUGCCAUUGAUACUAUCAGUCUUGAAUACUGUGGAGAUGAGCGGAAUAUGUCAUGUAGCGGUGAAAUGCUUAGAUAUGACAUAGAACACCUAUUGCGAAGGCAGCUCGUUACACAAAUAUUGACACUGAGGCACGAAAGCGUGGGGAUCAAACAGGAUUAGAUACCCUGGUAGUCCACGCCCUAAACGAUGGAUACUCGACAUUUGCGAUAAACUGCAAGUGUCUGAGCGAAAGCAUUAAGUAUCCCACCUGGGAAGUACGACCGCAAGGUUGAA
This 369-nucleotide ribosomal RNA is filed under the name uncultured bacterium. RNAcentral describes it as "bacterial SSU rRNA". It matches the Rfam family "Bacterial small subunit ribosomal RNA", at positions 527 to 898 of the family's 1533-position model. The record is from RNAcentral.